UACGUAGGGUGCGAGCGUUAAUCGGAAUUACUGGGCGUAAAGCGUGCGUAGGCGGUCCGCUAAGUCUGAUGUGAAAGCCCCGGGCUCAACCUGGGAACUGCAUUGGAAACUAACGGGCUCGAGUGUGGCAGAGGGGGGUGGAAUUCCACGUGUAGCGGUGAAAUGCGUAGAGAUGUGGAGGAACACCGAUGGCGAAGGCAGCCUUCUGGGCCAACACUGACGCUCAUGCACGAAAGCGUGGGGAGCAAACAGG
This 253-nucleotide ribosomal RNA is filed under the name uncultured bacterium. Its description in RNAcentral is "partial 16S ribosomal RNA". It matches the Rfam family "Bacterial small subunit ribosomal RNA", at positions 524 to 776 of the family's 1533-position model. The record is from RNAcentral.